Molecule: ribosomal RNA, 503 nt
Filed under: uncultured bacterium
Lineage: Bacteria
Description: partial 16S ribosomal RNA
Rfam family: Bacterial small subunit ribosomal RNA
Source: RNAcentral
AUUGAACGCUGGCGGCAGGCUUAACACAUGCAAGUCGAGCGGGGUGAUGGUGCUUGCACUAUCACUUAGCGGCGGACGGGUGAGUAAUGCUUAGGAAUCUGCCUAUUAGUGCGGGACAACAUCUCGAAAGGGAUGCUAAUACCGCAUACGUCCUACGGGAGAAAGCAGGGGAUCACUUGCGACCUUGCGCUAAUAGAUGAGUCUAAGGCGGAUUAGCUAGUUGGUGGGGUACAGGCCUACCAAGGCGACGAUCUGUAGCGGGUCUGAGAGGAUGAUCCGCCACACUGGGACUGAGACACGGCCCAGACUCCUACGGGAGGCAGCAGUGGGGAAUAUUGGACAAUGGGGGGAACCCUGAUCCAGCCAUGCCGCGUGUGGGAAGAAGGCCUUAUGGUUGUAAAGCACUUUAAGCGAGGAGGAGGCUCUUUUGGUUAAUACCCAAGAUGAGUGGACGUUACUCGCAGAAUAAGCACCGGCUAACUCUGUGCCAGCAGCCGCGGUAA